RNAcentral lists this ribosomal RNA (281 nucleotides) under Companilactobacillus versmoldensis. RNAcentral's name for it is "Lactobacillus versmoldensis partial 16S ribosomal RNA". It matches the Rfam family "Bacterial small subunit ribosomal RNA", at positions 27 to 309 of the family's 1533-position model. Lineage: Bacteria; Bacillati; Bacillota; Bacilli; Lactobacillales; Lactobacillaceae. The record is from RNAcentral.
CGAGCGAACUCUGGUAACUGAUUUUUGAUGCUUGCAUCAAAAUGAAGAUACAUUUGAGUGAGCGGCGGAUGGGUGAGUAACACGUGGGUAACCUGCCCUAAAGUGGGGGAUAACAUCUGGAAACAGGUGCUAAUACCGCAUAACAACAAUUUCCACAUGGUCAUUGUUUGAAAGAUGGUUCUGCUAUCGCUUUAGGAUGGACCCGCGGCGUAUUAGCUAGUUGGUGAGGUAACGGCUCACCAAGGCGAUGAUACGUAACCGACCAGAGAGGGUAAUCGGCC